GGUUGGAUCAUUAGUGAAUCAAUAUGGUGUAGCUUUUACCGGCUAUUAUCAUUUGUUUUAGUGUCAAAAACGCGCCUCGCGUAACCUUGCGCUUGGCUUUUGGCACGCUCUUUUUUUGUGAACCUGUUUCCUUUCUUUGGGAGUGUUGUGCUCAUGUUAGCUUUGUGUCUGUGGACCUUAGCUUCCAUGACGACUUUUGGUUAGUAAAUGAGUUUGCAUUUGGUACAAGCUGAUGUGACGAGUUAAUAGCUCUAGCAUUUUUAAUUUGUUGACCUGUUUGCUUGGAGGUCAGAUUUGGCUGUGGGGCCUUAUCAUUACCAAUGCCUAGCCAAAAGCCAAUCUCCUUGUUUUGUUUGAUAUGUAUAGUGUAUUUGUUUGUGAAUUUUUUUUUUGUGUGUAUGAAACAACUAUUGGCAAUGGAUCUCUUGGCUCACGCAUCGAUGAAGAACGCAGCUAAAUGCGAAACGUAAUGUGAAUUGCAGAGUUACGUGAAUCAUCGAAUCUUUGAACGCAUAUUGCACCCUCUGGUAUUCCGGAGGGUAUGCCUGUUUGAGAAUCAUUAUAUUUUUCACCCCGACAAGUCUUAAUAAGCUUGUUUGGCUUGGUGGUUAUUGGGCUUUCCCAUUAGGAAGUGAAAACCUAUGGUGUUGCCUUAAAUCCAAAGGGUUUACCGUCAAACUAUCAUUCUUUUUUUUUGAAGAUGAUUUUAUUGCAUGGUGUGAUUGAGGUUAACUUGGCCUCUUCCUUUUUUAAAGGUUCACUUGCAUGUAUUAAAGUUUGAAAUAAAUCCUCGGAGACUGAUGUUUAAAAGCCUAUGGGCACAUCAGCUGCUUGUAAUUCAUUGAUCUUGUUUGUGUGCUGUUUGCAUCAAACAUUAUUUUUGAGUAAGCAAGGAAAUGUUUUGGCUGUUAUAGCAUAAUGAUAUGAUCUCAAAUCAGGCAUGAGUACCCGCUGAACUUAAGCAUAUCAAUAAGCGGAGGAAAAGAAAAUAACUAUGAUUCCCCUAGUAACUGCGAGUGAAGCGGGAAGAGCCCAAAUUUGAAAUCUCAUGGCCUUGAGCUGUGCGAAUUGUAGUUUGUAGAAGUGCUUUCUGGGCUAGCCUGGGUUGAAGUCUGUUGAAAAGCAGCAUCAGAGAGGGUGAUAAUCCCGUUUCUGAUCCAGUGUCUAGUCCUUUGUGAGGUGCUUUCUAAGAGUCGGGUUGUUUGGGAUUGCAGCCCUAAUUGGGUGGUAAAUACCAUCUAAGGCUAAAUAUUUGCGUGAGACCGAUAGUGAAUAAGUACCGUGAGGGAAAGAUGAAAAGAACUUUGAAAAGAGAGUUAAAUAGUAUGUGAAAUUGCCAAUAGGGAAGCGUUUGGAAUCAGUCAUGCUUGCAGAGAUUUAGCUGCUUUGAAGUAGUGUUCUUCUCUGUUAUGCGGGUCAACAUCAAUUUUGGCUGUUGUAUAUGCAUGUUGGGAAUGUAGAGGUUCUCGGACCUUGUUUAUAGACCUUCAUGAUUGCUAUGGCUGGGAUUGAGGGUCGCGGUGCCAUUUUGAGUUGGUGUGCUGCCCGUUCUCCCACUCCUGUAUGGAAGCUUGCUGCCUAUAGGUUUGCGGUUGGACUGCCACAGUACAUUAUCUUCAUUUGUGCCUGGGAUGUUGACAUAAUGGUUUCAAACGGCCCGUCUUGAAACACGGACCAAGGAGUCUAACGUAUAUGCGAGUAUAUGGGUUGUAAGCCCUAAUGCGUAAUGAAAGUGAUAAGGUGGGAACUCUUUUUGAGUGCACCAUCGACCGGUCUCGAGCAAUUUAUUGCAAAGGAUCCGAGUUAGAGCAUAUAUGUUAGGACCCGAAAGAUGGUGAACUAUGCCUGAAUAGGGUGAAGCCAGAGGAAACUCUGGUGGAGGCCCGUAGCGAUUCUGACGUGCAAAUCGAUCGUUGAAUUUGGGUAUAGGGGCGAAAGACUAAUCGAACCAUCUGGUAGCUGGUUCCCUC
RNAcentral lists this unclassified non-coding RNA (1970 nucleotides) under uncultured fungus. Its description in RNAcentral is "sequence contains 18S rRNA gene, ITS1, 5.8S rRNA gene, ITS2, 28S rRNA gene". The stretch from base 925 to 1970 matches the Rfam family "Eukaryotic large subunit ribosomal RNA", at positions 1 to 961 of the family's 3401-position model. Lineage: Eukaryota; Fungi. The record is from RNAcentral.